GCCACCAAUAGCUCAGUUGGUUAGAGCAUGGUGCUGAUAAUGACAAGGUUGCAGGUUAGAUCCCCAUAUGGGGCA
RNAcentral lists this transfer RNA (75 nucleotides) under Podarcis lilfordi (Lilford's wall lizard). RNAcentral describes it as "tRNA.Ile". The record is from RNAcentral. Lineage: Eukaryota; Metazoa; Chordata; Lepidosauria; Squamata; Lacertidae.